UCCUACGGGAGGCAGCAGUGAGGAAUAUUGGACAAUGGUCGGAAGACUGAUCCAGCCAUGCCGCGUGCAGGAUGACUGCCCUAUGGGUUGUAAACUGCUUUUGUACGAGAAGAACACCCUCUUCGUGAAGAGGACUGACGGUAUCGUACGAAUAAGGACCGGCUAACUCCGUGCCAGCAGCCGCGGUAAUACGGAGGGUCCGAGCGUUAUCCGGAAUCAUUGGGUUUAAAGGGUCCGUAGGCGGGCUAUUAAGUCAGAGGUGAAAUUGUGCAGCUCAACUGUAGAACUGCCUUUGAUACUGAUAGUCUUGAGUUAUGGUGAGGUAGCCGGAACAUGUGGUGUAGCGGUGAAAUGCAUAGAUAUCACAUAGAACGCCGAUUGCGAAGGCAGGUUACCAACCAUAUACUGACGCUGAUGGACGAAAGCGUGGGGAGCGAACGGGAUUAGAUACCCCGGUAGUCCACGCCGUAAACGAUGGAUACUAGCUGUCGGGUUUUCGGACUCAGCGGCCAAGCGAAAGUGAUAAGUAUCCCACCUGGGGAGUACGUUCGCAAGAAUGAAACUCAAAUGAAUUGACGGA
Molecule: ribosomal RNA, 580 nt
Filed under: uncultured Flavobacteriaceae bacterium
Lineage: Bacteria; Pseudomonadati; Bacteroidota; Flavobacteriia; Flavobacteriales; Flavobacteriaceae
Description: bacterial SSU rRNA
Rfam family: Bacterial small subunit ribosomal RNA
Source: RNAcentral